GGUGUAAAGGGCGUGUAGGCGGGAUUGUAAGUCAGAUGUGAGAUUCCAGGGCUAAACUCUGGAGGUGCAUCUGAAACUAUAAUUCUUGAGUGCUGGAGAGGAAAGCGGAAUUCCUAGUGUAGCGGUGAAAUGCGUAGAUAUUAGGAAGAACACCAGUGGCGAAGGCGGCUUUCUGGACAGUAACUGACGCUGAGGCGCGAAAGCGUGGGGAGCAAGCAGGAUUAGAUACCCUGGUAGUCCACGCUGUAAACGAUGGAUACUAGGUGUAGGAGGUAUCGACCCCUUCUGUGCCGGAGUUAACACAAUAAGUAUCCCACCUGGGGAGUACGGCCGCAAGGCUGAAACUCAAAGGAAUUGACGGGGGCCCGCACAAGCAGUGGAGUAUGUGGUUUAAUUCGAAGCAACGCGAAGAACCUUACCAGGGCUUGACAUCCCUCGGAUAACAUAGAGAUAUGUUAGUCCUUCGGGACGAGGAGACAGGUGGUGCAUGGUUGUCGUCAGCUCGUGUCGUGAGAUGUUGGGUUAAGUCCCGCAACGAGCGCAACCCCUAUUGUUAGUUGCCAUCAUUAAGUUGGGCACUCUAACGAGACUGCCGGUGACAAAUCGGAGGAAGGUGGGGACGACGUCAAAUCAUCAUGCCCCUUAUGUCCUGGGCUACACACGUACUACAAUGGUCACUACAAAGGGAAGCAAUACCGCAAGGAGGAGCAAAUCCCCAAAGGUGACCUCAGUUCGGAUUGUGGGCUGAAACCCGCCCACAUGAAGUCGGAAUUGCUAGUAAUGGCAGGUCAGCAUACUGUCGUGAAUACGUUCCCGGGCCUUGUACACACCGCCCGUCACACCAUGAGAGUUUGCAACAACCCGAAGUCAGUAGCUUAACCGUAAGGAGGGCGCUGCCGAAGGUGGGGCAGAUGAUUGGGUGAAGUCUAANCA
Molecule: ribosomal RNA, 933 nt
Filed under: uncultured organism
Description: bacterial SSU rRNA
Rfam family: Bacterial small subunit ribosomal RNA
Source: RNAcentral